AAAUGAAGAAAAUGUCAGUUAAAAAUUAUUAAUAUACGCCGGCACAACUGGCUUCAAGCGACUGACAGCAAAACAGAUGGUAGACAAAAAACAUUGAUUAACUAUUUCAAUAGUGCUAAUGGGUUUCCAAAAAGGGACUUAACUGAUCACAGGACAUCAGCGAACUGGUUGAUGAUCCGUACCAAGCCACAUGAGCCUGAGGACCUGAUGAGAACACUUUAAGCAUACCUUGCCAGGCCACCAAGGAAAGCCGUGAAUUUUACCCCAUACAACGUCGCCC
This is a long non-coding RNA of Cyphomyrmex costatus, 280 nucleotides long. RefSeq lists it as uncharacterized. The record is from RefSeq and is a predicted model, not a curated record. The transcript has 3 exons. Lineage: Eukaryota; Metazoa; Arthropoda; Insecta; Hymenoptera; Formicidae.